RNAcentral lists this ribosomal RNA (903 nucleotides) under uncultured bacterium. RNAcentral describes it as "bacterial SSU rRNA". It matches the Rfam family "Bacterial small subunit ribosomal RNA", at positions 33 to 927 of the family's 1533-position model. The record is from RNAcentral.
ACGCUAGCUACAGGCUUAACACAUGCAAGUCGAGGGGAAACGGCAUUAAGUGCUUGCACUUUUUGGACGUCGACCGGCGCACGGGUGAGUAACGCGUAUCCAACCUUCCCAUGACUAAGGGAUAACCUGCCGAAAGGCAGACUAAUACCUUAUGGUCUUCACUGACGGCAUCAGAUGUGAAGUAAAGAUUUAUCGGUUAUGGAUGGGGAUGCGUCUGAUUAGUUAGUUGGCGGGGUAACGGCCCACCAAGGCAACGAUCAGUAGGGGUUCUGAGAGGAAGGUCCCCCACAUUGGAACUGAGACACGGUCCAAACUCCUACGGGAGGCAGCAGUGAGGAAUAUUGGUCAAUGGGCGAGAGCCUGAACCAGCCAAGUAGCGUGCAGGAUGACGGCCCUAUGGGUUGUAAACUGCUUUUGUAUGGGGAUAAAGUCAAUCACGUGUGAUUGUUUGCAGGUACCAUACGAAUAAGGACCGGCUAAUUCCGUGCCAGCAGCCGCGGUAAUACGGAAGGUCCGGGCGUUAUCCGGAUUUAUUGGGUUUAAAGGGAGCGUAGGCUGGAGAUUAAGUGUGUUGUGAAAUGUAGACGCUCAACGUCUGACUUGCAGCGCAUACUGGUUUCCUUGAGUACGCACAACGUUGGCGGAAUUCGUCGUGUAGCGGUGAAAUGCUUAGAUAUGACGAAGAACUCCGAUUGCGAAGGCAGCUGACGGGAGCGCAACUGACGCUGAAGCUCGAAGGUGCGGGUAUCGAACAGGAUUAGAUACCCUGGUAGUCCGCACAGUAAACGAUGGAUGCCCGCUGUUGGUACUUGGUAUCAGCGGCUAAGCGAAAGCAUUAAGCAUCCCACCUGGGGAGUACGCCGGCAACGGUGAAACUCAAAGGAAUUGACGGGGGCCCGCACA